GCCGUGGUAGCUCAGUUGGGAUGAGCAACAGACUGAAGUUAUGUAAUCACAUCGCUUACAUAACGCCGAUCUGGAGGUCCCCUGUUCGACCCAGGGUCAUGGCA
Molecule: non-coding RNA, 104 nt
Organism: Tulasnella sp. 419
Lineage: Eukaryota; Fungi; Basidiomycota; Agaricomycetes; Cantharellales; Tulasnellaceae
Source: the annotation of a GenBank genome assembly